UGUCUCAGUUCGGAUUGGAGUCUGCAACCCGACUCCAUGAAGCUGGAUUCGCUAGUAAUCGCGCAUCAGCCACGGCGCGGUGAAUACGUUCCCGGGCCUUGUACACACCGCCCGUCAAGCCAUGGAAGCCGGGGGUGCCUGAAGUGCGCUGCCGCAAGGAGCGUCCUAGGGUAAAACCGGUGACUGGGGCUAAGUCGUAACAAGGUACC
RNAcentral lists this ribosomal RNA (209 nucleotides) under uncultured bacterium. Its description in RNAcentral is "partial 16S ribosomal RNA". It matches the Rfam family "Bacterial small subunit ribosomal RNA", at positions 1284 to 1500 of the family's 1533-position model. The record is from RNAcentral.